AAUAUCUGAAAAUGGAUGCGUAUUAGUUACACAUUUUGCAUCUCAUCUGAGAACAACAACAAACACGACAACGUUAAAGCCAGGAAUUCAUCAGUCUUAUUUACUUGGACUCUUGUUCAAGAAUUUUUUUCCCCUCAUUGUUAAUUUUUAGUGGUUUCUGUAGUUCAAACGAGUUGUCGCUGACGUGCGCUGCUCGCAUUAACAACAUGGCUGCCGAACACGAGGAACUACCGUAAUUCCCGGCCUACAAGCUCGACUUUUUUCAUAGCCGCUGUGUUAGCGCCGUCGCGUUAGCGUGAGCACAUCCACGCUAGCGUUAGCAUUGGGGCCGCCGUGUUAGCGUUAACACCGCCAGCACCGCCGCGUUAGCAUUUGCGCACCCGCGCUAGCGUUAAACUCUUUCUGUGUACCAAGGCUUAUCACCAGUUGCGCUCCGUAGGCCGGGAAUUGCGGUAGUUUAAUAAAUAAAGUGUCGCUAUAUUCGCAGCUUGACCAACCACUCGAGUGAUUUGGGCUCGGGACAGCAUGAGCGGAAUCCUCAUCCGGAGGUUUGUCACUGGAAGGCAAUCACAAGGUGCCAAACAUUUCCAAAUACAUAUUGCCCAUUUAUCCGCUGGCAGAGAAGUGAUUAUCAGCGUAUUGCAAAGUUUUGACUGGAGGUAUGGGCUACCAAAGCACAAAAGCAAAGCAAAAUUAUUUGUAUAGCGCAUUUCAUAUACAAGGGAACUCACUGUGCUUUACAUGAUCAAAUGCAUUCAAAUCCAUAAAAAAACAAUUGAAAAAGUACAAUUAAGACAGCUUUUAGUUGAAGAAAUAUUGAGAAGUGGAAGUACGUUAAAACGCAUGAGAAAAAAAAUUCCAGAAGGCGGUUCGAGAAGUGAUUUGUUCAAAAUCCGAAUCGAUAUUUCCCAUUACGAUGAAUGGAAAAAGAAAUAAUGCGUUCCAAGCCUUAAAAAUGGGCUUUUUAAACCAUUUUUUUACCUUUUCCUGAUAAUAAACUGCAUAGUAGAAAUACAUGUGUGUUUAAAUACUUAAUAUAAUGAAAUAAUUUGAGAAAAAUAUUUAUUUUUUACUUAAAACGUAUGCUUUAGUAGUAGAGUAGGCUAGGCUGGGAGUGCAUUGCCGUAUCUGUAGCGACUCGGCCGCCAGCCUUGUAAACCUUUUUAAUAAUGAUACAAUAAUGAGGGGAAAAAAAAGCAAAGACAUUUUAUUUAUUUUUACAAAAAGUAAAAAAAAAAACAAAAAAAAACUAACUCCUAACGCGUGUUAACAAAAUCUUUGAAACGAAACAAAAAUGCAGAAAUGCUAAUGGAACAGAGCAUUAUUAAAUUUCACAAGAAAAAAGCAAUGCAAAACUAUCAACUACCGUAAUUUCCGGCCUAUAAGCCGUUACUUUUUUUCACACACUUUCAACCCCGCGGCUUAUGCGGCUAAUUUGUGCAUUUUUUUUUUUCUGAACGGCCGCAAGGCUGCACUUGAGCGGAAAAGCUAAGAGCGAGACCAGUGGAAUAUAUGUCCCGAGGAAGUGACUUUUUCCGGGUAUGUUUUUUUUUUUUUUAACCGGCCCUGUUAGCGCUAUGCUAACGUGUUGCUGCUGUGUUACUGCCACGUCUGAUUUUUACCGAUAUAUAUAUAUAUAUUUUUUUAACCGGCCCUAAUAGCACCACGCUAGCAUUAGCACCGGUCAGUUGGUCGGGGGCGUUUGACUACUGGAUUUUCGUUUCAAAUCAGAAGCAAGAAAAAAAAAAAAAAUCUCAACAUUUUUGUUCGAUAACAGAGUAUUUGGUUAUACCGAAUACUAUAUAAUACUAUACUAUAUAAUAUCGGUUCGAGUACACCAACAUUUUGCCGAGGUUGCCUUGCCUCACCUGUGCAGGAGAAAUUCAAGAGCUGAAUUGGGUGCACAUUCGAAGUAUUUUAUUGAUUCCUUAAGAAAUGUAUUUAAAAUAAUAAAAAAAAAAAAGCGCACCCACCCCAUCUUAAAAUAAUACUAACAAAAAAAAACAACAUAUGAUUUCAAACUUCAUUUCUGUGGAUGUUGAGACGAGUUCAUGAUGGGAGAGAGAAAAAAAUAUUUGUUUCAAAGUUUGCUUGGUGCACGAGAAAUAAAGCAAAUCCCAGAAGAACAAAAAGCAGAACUUGGUUUGAAUAAUCGAAAUGUUAUCAUUUUCUUCAACAAAUCAAGGACAAACAAAGCAAUUACGAUCAGCGGAAUUUUGUGAGGGAGUUAAAAUAAAAAAUUAUUUGAAGGCCGUAUUGCCAUUGACUACGAAGAGGCUCUUCAUCUCACAGGUGCAGCUGACAUUUGAGGAAGAUCAAUAUGUAGCCGUGUGGGGAUCGUGGUGGGUGGCAAAGGUGGUGUGGUAGCCGAGUGUGCUUGUUGUGGGGUGGCGCUCGUCACUCUUCGCUUUCAACUAACACCGCCGGCGGGCAUUUAGGCGAAAAGUCUUAGUCUUACUCUGCCAGUCCAUAACCUCCCCACCGCAAAACUUGCGCUUCAGUGGGUCCACCGCACUGCCACCUAAGCAACUGAGUGGCUCGCAGACUAACGAAGAACUGGCGAGAACAGUCUUCCUCUCGAACACCCACUGCCCUCGUGUCUUCCCUCACAACCUCCAUCAACCUUCUCUUUGGGCUUCCUCUCGCUCUCUUCCUUGGCAGCUCCAUCCUCAUCACCCUUCUAACAAUAUACUCAGUCUCUCACCUCUGGACACGUCCAAACCAUCGAAGUCUGCUCUCUCGAACCUUGUCUCCAAAAUGUCCAACUUUGGCUGUCCCUUUAAUGAGCUCAUUUCUAAUCCUAUCCAUCCUGCUCAGUCCGAGCGAGAACCUCAACAUCUUCAUUUCUGCUACUUCCAGUUCUGCUUCCUGUUGUUUCUUCAGGCCCACCGUCUCUAAUCCGUACACCAUGGCCGGCCUCACCACCGUUUUAUAAACUUUGCCCUUCAUCCUAGCUAAGACUCUUCUGUCACAUAGGACAUCAGACACCUUCCGCCAACUGUUCCACCCCGCUUGGACCCGUUUCUUCACUUCCUUACCACACUCACCAUUGCUCUGGCUUGUUGACCCCAAGUAUUUGAAGUCGUCCACCCUCGCUAUCUCUUCUCCCUGGAGCUUCGCUCUUCCCCCACCGCCCCUCUCAUUCAGGCAGAUAUACUCUUUUUUGAGUUCAGCUAAUCUUCAUUUCUCUCCUUUCCAGUGCAUGCCUCCAUCCUUCUAAUUGUUCCUCCACCCGCUCUCUGCUUUUACUGCAGAUCACAAUAUCAUCUGCGAGCAUCAUGGUGCAAGGGGAUUCCAGUCUAACCUCAUCUGUCAGCCUACCGCAAACAGGAAGGGGCUCAACACAGAUCCCUGUCCCACUUCUACCUGAAAUUCUUCUGUCACACCUACGGCACAUCUCACCGCUGUUCUGCUGCCCUCAUACAUGUCCUGUACUAUUCUAUAUAACAUAUUUCUCCAGCACACCAGACUUGCGCAUGCACUACCACAGUUCCUCUCUUGGUACUCUGUCAUGGUCUUUCUCUAGAUCCACAAAGACACAAUGUAGCUCCUUCUGACAUUCCCUGUACUUUUCCACUAGCAUUCUCAAGGCAAAUAAUGCAUCUGUGGUACUCUUUGUAGGCAUGAGACCAUGCUCGCAGAUACUGACUUCUGACCCGAGUCUAGCCUCUACUACUACUCUUUCCCAUAACUUCAUUGUGUGGCUAAUUGACUUUAUUCCUCUAUAGUUUCCGUAGCUCUGAACAUCCCCUUUGUUCUUAAAAAUGGGAACUCGCCCCCUUUUCCUCCAUUCCUCUGGCAUCUUCUCGCCCGCUAGUAUCCUCUUGAACAGCCGCCCCACCGAAUUCCAUAUAUGAAAAUUACAAAUCUGCAGAAUGAUACUUUGCAGAUUUCUUGUAUUGUGCGUGGGUUUUGUUGACUGCAACCUCUGUGAAAAACGAGGAUUAAUCACACAAAUCAAAAGAAUAAUUAAAAUAAGCAGCAGAGAGUGUCAUAAUGCCAGUGAUGGAUGAUGCUGACUGUUGAUAUGAAAUGCUUUUUUUGUCUCAUUCAAUCAAUCAUUCACCCCAAAGUAAAAAAAAAAAAAAAAAAAAAAUAGAACUGUCUGCGUGCCUGUUCAUUCCACGGAGGGGAUGAUGACUUCAUCAAGUGCAGUCUGCCAACGUGUCGCCCAGAGCGGCUCGGAAACAUCGCCGGCGAUACGCUGCCUUGCCCUCCGCAUCAAAGCGCUCGAUUUAAAGGACGAAAAACCCUAAUGAAUAUCGGAUGGAAGCGGCGCUCGUCUGCCAGAAAUUGUCGUUCCGACUUCUUUUUAUUUUCCUCCCGCACUUGAAAUACAAUCAAACGGAUCUCCGCUGACCUUUGCGCAAAUCCCUCAAGGACUUUUUCCUUUGCGUGCGCGCCGGCGACUCAAGAGGAACGAAAGACGAGAAGAAAAGACAAACGGAGAUUUUGAAUCGACGCCUCCUCCGUGAAGAGUGAAUCACUUCAUGCAAUUGUGAUGUUUUCUCAAAUUGCAUAAUUCAUUAUAAUCUGAACAGAUGAAAGAGGAAGAAUCCUUUUUCCAUAUUCCCCCCCCCCCCCCCAAAUAAAUGCUCAUGAACGCGCACGGAGGCUUGUUUGCAUCCCAGGAAUGUAUUUGCGCUGAGGCCAAAGCCGCGCGUACGAAACCAGGAACCUUUCGAAAUGCAUUUGAGGAGCUCUGAAGUCACAACAGCGCCGAGUAUAUUUUCUUAGCAGAUAAGCAAAAAAGCAAGCAGAUUGUUUUGCUAGCCGACGAGGAAAACGGCCAGAUGAACUCUUCACUCGCGAAGAAUGCCGGCAGGUCUCGGCGCAGUGCUCGACGGCGGGUCUCCGGCCCGACUGGGUUUGUUGAGUGCGAUCUUAUUGUUAAACACUGACCCUGGCCCUUGGCGAUAUUUUGGGGUUGAUGGAGCACAGCAGGCGCAAACUGAGCGCCGGGUGAGGAAGUACGGAGCGAGGGGAGGUGGGGCGCUCAAUAUAUCUCCGGGGUUAUCUAAUAGUUCCGGCAGGAGCGAUGAAAACCCUGGCAAAGCCGUUCGUCACCUGUGCGCUAAACAAUGCUAGCAUGUCAUUUAGCAUGUUGGUCCAGUUCAUCCAUGAGAGGACAAUUCCAAUGCCAGUGCUUUUAUUCCCUCAAUAUAUUCCAUAAUUUCCGUCCGACAAGCCGCGACUUUUUCCACACGCUUUCAACCCUACGGUUUAUGCGGUGAUGCGGCUAAUUUGUGCGUUUUUUUCUAACGGCCGCAAGGGGUUACUCGAGCGGAAAAGGAAAGAGUGAAACCGGUGGAAUAUAUGUGCAGAGGAAGUGACUUUUAGCGGCCCUUUUAGCGCUGCGCUAGUGUUAGUGCUGUGGUACCGUGUUGCUGCUAUGUUACUGGCAUGUCUCAGUGUUAUUUACCGGUAAGUUUUAUUUUAACCGGCCCUGUUAGCGUUUGCGCUAGCGGUGUUAGCGUUAGAACUAGCAUUAAACUCUUUCUGUGUACAGUCUUUGUUUAUAAAUAUCUAUCUAGCCAACUAUCUAGCGCUGUCCUAGCGUGUUGCUGCUGUGUUACUCGCGUGCCUCAGUUUACUGGUAAGUUUUAUUUUAACCGGCCCGUUAGUGCUAGCACCGCGCUAACGUUGAACUCUUUCUGUGUACCGCCUUUCUCGUGUUUGAAUGUGCUUUUCAAUGUUUUCGAACAAAUCUGUUUUCAGAACGAAAAUUUUGAGAUAGUUUUUGCUUCUGUUAUUGAAUGAAAAUCGGUACCCCCAACAAAACCCGGAAAUAACAUAUUGCGCGCCACCAGACCAGCUGACCCACGACGCGCCAUUCCCAUGCCCCGAAAAAAAAAAACCUGGAAAUAACAUAAUGUGGCAAUUUAUGAGUGUCCAAUUAAUGUUGCAUGUUUUCGGGAUGUGGGAGGAAACCGGACCGCCCGGAGAAAACCCACGCAGGUACGGGGAGAACAUGCAAACUCCGCACAGGCAGGUCCGGGAUUGAACCCGGGACCUCGGAACUGUGAGGCCAACGCUUUACCAGCCUGCAGGCGUGUCACAUUCGGAGAACACGUUAUUAUAUUUCACGCUCGGACAAUCUGGCCUGCAAUGUCAGUGAGGCCCCGAAGCGCUGGAGACAGCAGAAGAUCCGAAAGUGGUACGCGCCAACUCAAAGGGACGCCCGAUGUGCUCGAGGAGGCCGCUCGCCUUGACACGCCCACCCCCUCGGAACUUUCACACCUCCCUCCUGAAUCUCUCGGCGGUACCGGUGCUGUGCUGUCCGAGGUCACGCUCCACCUUGAAGUGAAGUCGCCUCGCACUUUUUGGGAAUCACGUUUUAGCCCAUUAACUGCAGCUCAAAUCACCUCCGCUUUACACGGCUGCCAAGUGCAGCGUAAUCUUAGAUUGAUUUCCUGCCUUCCGGGCAGCCACCUGUUUCUGCUCAUUUUCGUAUAUUUGGAAAGCGACUUGCGGAGACUUAAACCAGCUUGAACUGGGUAAUCCAUCACGGCCCGCGUUUAAGUUCCAUUUUGUCUUUCGAUGCGGUUGCACGCAGGGACUUUUUUUUUUUUUUAUGUUGAUAUUCUCAGUGUGGUGACAUUCAGAUUAAUGAGCUGGACGGCAUUGAGUCUUUACACCCUCGUAACCAUGGAAAUAAACAAAUCAUGUUGA
This is a long non-coding RNA of Syngnathoides biaculeatus (alligator pipefish), 6672 nucleotides long. RefSeq lists it as uncharacterized. The transcript has 2 exons. The record is from RefSeq and is a predicted model, not a curated record. Lineage: Eukaryota; Metazoa; Chordata; Actinopteri; Syngnathiformes; Syngnathidae.